CUGAAGAGUUCUGUCGCCAGGGAAACGUCAUCCAGUUGAUUCCACACCACCACAGCCCUGCUCCCACCACCCUCUGCCUGGUCUGGUCGCUGAUCUGCCCAGACAAUGCAGGGUUUCACUCUGAGAGACAGAACCUGUCUGUUUUUUCCUCGUUUGCCUUCCCUUUUUCCAUCCCCCUGGAGGCUGAGCAGGGAAAGUCACAGCUUUUCUUGCUGACUGACAUCUCCGGAUCAAAAGAAAACAGAAUCUUAGAAUGUCGCUGGCAGAGAGGGCCCGCUCAAGUCUAAUAUGGCCCUGUCACUCUACAGUGGUGACAACUGUGGCUACAGGGUGGCCAUCAUUUUCUUGAUUUCAGCAAUAGCUUUGCCUGGAUUCAGCCCCUUGGGGCAGGACCUUGUGCAGUUCAUGAUGGUGUGGCAGCGGUCCAGAGAGAACGGGCCCUGCAGCUUGGCCAGGCGCUCCUCAGUGAAGUCGUCUUCUAGAGUCGAUCAUCCAGGGGUAGGCCUGCAUGAGAACCGCAGGCCCCAGGUAUUUGUCUCCAUUCCACCAGUAGCUAGGGCAGCUGGUGCUGCAGCAAGCACAGAGGAUACACUCAUACAGCCCGGCCAGUUUCUCACGAUCUUCUAUGGACUGCAGAUACUGCUGCUUGCCCUCCUGGGAUUCAUCCUUCUUCUUCAAAUAAGGUUCAAUGGAUUUGUACUGAGCAUAGAAGUUGCUCAAGUCAGGAACCAGAUCCUUUAUCACAUACAUAUGUGGCAGAGGGUAGAUUUUGGAGACUUUGCUGAGGUUGGUGUGGAUCCGGCGGGUGCAAGCCAGAGUAUUGCCUCCGUUGAUGUUCAUGGCACAGGAGCCACAGAUGCCUUCUCUGCAUGAUCUUCGGAAGGUCAAGGUCCUGAAGCUAAAAAAGCUGCAGUAGCUCAUGUGCCCAUCCUGGCCAACGGCCUCGGCAGCGGUCAUGUCCAUGCCUGGUGCAGCACAUCAGGCUCCAGCCCUGGCCCCAAGCGCUCCACCUGAAGGCCUCGGACAUCACACCUGCCUGGUCAUGGAUCAUAAAAUGUCCGAGCUGGGAAGGGAUAAAGGAAGUAUCUAGUUCCACCUGCUCUCCUAACAGGUGUGGAAAUACAGAUCAAGAGGGGAAUAAGAACUUGCCUGAUGCCACCCAGAUCGUUUACUUUAUAGACGUGCACCUUGAACUCAGGGAUUUUGGAGCCUGGGUCACAUUAGAAUAGUUUUCUCUACUCUUCAUUUCGUUUUGGAAGCAAAAACUAGCCUUACUCUAGAUAAUUUGGGUCUGCCACAGUACAUGUGACUUUCUCAAGGGAUAAUUUGGUUGGGUACUACAAGAGACCCAAAUAACAUUUGAGGUCUUUGGGGGCUUGGUUAUGCUGGGAGUGGGUAACCCCAACAUGUCAGCAAUUCCAGCCAAGGUCCCUUCAGCCAAAAUAACUGCAUGUCUUUAUUAUUAUUAUUAUUGAUUUAUUCAUGAGCAGCUCAAAGAGAGCCUGAUGCAAGACUCGAUCCCAGGAUUCUAGGAUCAUGACCUGAGCCAAAGGCAGAUGCUCAACCACUGAGCCACCAGGAGCCCCAUAACUGCAUGCUCUUAAGAUGUCAGAUCCCUACAGAAAAUUACUGUUGUUUUUAACUUGGAGACACUCCAUCUAGCUUUAUGCAAGAAAUAUGCUUCUAAAAACUCAUCUAUCUAAUGAAAAUUGAUGCAUAAAUGCUCUGAGUCCAAAUAUCCUUUUAAAAUAUUCACACUAGAGGUAGCCAUAGUUGCAGCUAUGGUGGAAGAAGCAUCCACACUUAACACAAACCGGUUUGGGUUUUUUUUUUUAUGAAAUUACAUUUUUUCAUUGACUUUCCAUUAUAAUUCCCACGAAGCAUUAAUG
Molecule: long non-coding RNA, 1889 nt
Organism: Vulpes vulpes (red fox)
Lineage: Eukaryota; Metazoa; Chordata; Mammalia; Carnivora; Canidae
Source: Ensembl